This is a long non-coding RNA of Larimichthys crocea (large yellow croaker), 2323 nucleotides long. RefSeq lists it as uncharacterized. The transcript is spliced from 2 exons. Lineage: Eukaryota; Metazoa; Chordata; Actinopteri; Sciaenidae. The record is from RefSeq and is a predicted model, not a curated record.
CUAGAUGGUACAUCCCAGCCUCUCCUCCUCAUUCUCCUCCCUCCUGCUUUCAGUGUCCUCCAUCUCUCCGCUUUCUCUCAUUUUCUUAUAUUAAGGACAUUUCCACUUCCAGAGACCGCUGCAGUUCUUCCUUCCUUCGUCUCACAAUCUUGUUAUCUCUACAGAUCUGUUGGAAAGCGAAGCAGCACAGAGCUGACCUUAUAAAGACUCCUCCUGACCAGACCACACCUCUGUCCCUGAGUCCAUGGAAGCCAAGGCCAAGACCGGGGCUCCAGCGCCUAAGGCGGGAUCUAAAGCAGAGAAAAAGGAGCCAGCAGCCCCACGCAAGGCUGACCCUGCCCCUGAGCCCGAGCAUCCUCCCCCCCAGGAUGGGGCAGCAGAAGCUGAAGCAGCAGCAGCAGGCGACGAGGCUGCGGCCUGCGGCACAGACUCUUUGGAGCACCUGAAACCCUUUCUCAUCGGUGGUGCUGUUAUCGCUGCAGGAGCAAUCUUGCUGGGGGUGUUGCUACUGGCGAGGAGAAAUUAAAACCAAAUUAUUGUCUCACAUUAAAGUAUUUAUUGAUUUAUGGUUAGAGCCUUGUUGCUGAUUGGUUCACAGACUAUGUCAGUACACAUGGGGGUUGGGGAGCCACAGUGCAUUUUAUGUUUUUUUUUUCUAUUUGUUUGUUUAUUUUGGCCUGCUUUAACUUGUUGUGAAUCAAACCAUUCAAGUUUUAAUCAAGGCUGUAUAUGGAGCAUAAUUACACGUAGUAUAUGCAUGAAGUUGCUUCAAUAUUGCAUCUGUAAUAAUAACGUAUUUCUUAAAAAAAAAAUCUCACACUGUAGUACUGAGCUUAAAAGCCUAAACUCUCUAAAGGUAGCUUAUUCAACUGCUUUAUCUUAUUUAACCAGUUUGCACAAGUAUUGACAUAAGCUUGCAAUAUUUGUACAUUCUUGCACUGGCAAUAAGCUUGGUUCACUUUGCUAAAAGAUCAUGAAAAACUGUAUUCAUAAUGUUGAAACUUAUCGAUAUUAAUACUGGCUCUCAGAGUUGUUGUAGGUUUUAUUUUACUUUAAAGAAGACAGCUAAAAGAAUAGGCCAGGAAACAGCAGGAAAAUGCAUUAUGAUAUUGCACAUAUUUUAGCUAAAUUAGUGCCUAAAUAAAAAGACACUGAAUCCCUGCAUAUCCAAAUGUCACGUGGAAAACAGCAUAGUGGAAAUAAAAAAAAAAAAAGGUUUUCAGAGACAGAAAAUAUAAGCAUGCAGUGAUUUUAGGAAUGGGAACUAGGGGAUUGUUGGAGAUAAAACAUGCAUAGUAUGUGUCAGAGAACAUUAGUGAAGUUACUUCUUGCUGUAGAAUAAGAAAGAGUUUAAUUUUACUGUCAAACGAUGUCACAAAUCAAUAACCUUUCAUGUCUUACACUGAAAGCCGACAGGCAUGCUGGUUCAAUCUGUUUGCAUCCUACAGUAGAUGUAGCUGUAGCAGGCUGAACAGCCAUUAGCGUUGCAGUAUCAGGUUUAAAGCCUGCUGCCGAGAAAUUUGAGUUGUUUCUGUCUUGAGUGUGCUCGCCUUAUGUUAGGAAAAAUCCUUGUUUUCAAAACCUAAUGACAAAGUACAGCUAUAACGUAAUGACUGCAUCCUAGGCUGUUAAUACAAUGAAAGUGGGGUGUAGAUGAGCUACUGUUGUAUAGUUAAUCAAAAGAAAAAACAAACGAACUGUAACGCAGUUACACAAUUUUGUUGCUGCACACACUUACCUGUACAGCUGUACACAAUAUUGUCCACUCAUGUUAAGCUCAUCGGGAUGUCGCAUAACUAGAGAGCAGAAAGACAGCUCUGACACAUGCCAUAUGAAUUUUACCACGCAUUACUGACCUAAAAUAUUGUACAAACAUACCACAUUCAUCCUAGUCAACACCCCAAACACAUCCAAAAGAUAGUAUGCCAACACCAAAACAAACUUCACCUUACAUUGUACAAUGCAGUGUACCAAAAAAAAAAGAAAGAAAAUCCUAUUUUCAUAAUUUCAACAGCGUAUAAAUGCAAUAAUUCAGAUAGGACUCCUCAUUUAGCACAUGUACUGUAGCAAGUUAAAUUACAUAAAUGAUGAUGUAUGAUGUUAGUGAUGGGAUUGGCUGUGACGUUACAGAUAAUGAUGAUGAUGGCAAUGGUAUGUUUUUCAUGAUGACUGUAAUGAUAAUGAUGGUUAUGAUAUAUUUUUGAUAUAUUUCUAACAUUUUCCUUAUGCACACUCCCCUCUGCUCCCAAACUCUAAAAUGUAAAAGAAAAAAAGAAAAAAAAGAGGUUGUAAUCUAAACUUUAUUAAAGUCAGUGAACCAGUC